GAACCGCACCCGACCAAUCAUGCGCGCGGCAGGAGCGGGGGAACCAGGUGAAACGCCGUCCGGGAUCUUUCCGGAACGGCUCGGGGUGAAGCCGUACCCGUACGGCCGGACAUCUCCAGUCCGAACCCGACAGCUCACCUCGCAGGCGCCGGAGAGGAAUU
This 161-nucleotide small RNA is filed under the name Streptomyces katrae. RNAcentral's name for it is "c-di-AMP sequence". It matches the Rfam family "c-di-AMP riboswitch aptamer (ydaO/yuaA leader)". From Rfam's summary of the family: This family represents a conserved RNA structure found upstream of the ydaO and yuaA genes in Bacillus subtilis and related genes in other bacteria. The ydaO/yuaA element is thought to act as a genetic "off" switch for the ydaO and yuaA genes in its native state. It is believed that the element may be triggered during osmotic shock leading to activation of ydaO, a predicted amino acid transporter gene, and members of the yuaA-yubG operon which code for KtrA and KtrB K+ transporters. The record is from RNAcentral. Lineage: Bacteria; Bacillati; Actinomycetota; Actinomycetes; Kitasatosporales; Streptomycetaceae.